UUCCCUACACUGUAAAAUUUUUCCAGGAUUUCACAAGAUAUAACUGUAAUAUUUCACAGUUAAUUACAUUAUUACCACUUCACAGGCUUUAACUGUGAUAAUUCACAAUAUAAUACCGUAUUUAGACUUUUACUGUGAAAAUAAUGCAGGCGCGGGGCUUUUACAAGAAACUACUGUGAAUGCCGUCUUUUUUGAGUGGCAACUGCGGCAGCGUCAUCAGAGCUCUCUGAUCUACGUGGUCUCAUUCGGUGGAUUCAGACAGCGCAUUUUCUACAUUGACCGACGAUAAAUAAAGUUAUAAGGUGCUUCUUGGGCAUCAACCCAGAGACGGGCACAAAAUCUAAGAGGCAGAGAGGUCACAUGAACCAGCAAGUCUGCAC
Molecule: long non-coding RNA, 380 nt
Organism: Carassius gibelio (silver crucian carp)
Lineage: Eukaryota; Metazoa; Chordata; Actinopteri; Cypriniformes; Cyprinidae
Exons: 3
Source: RefSeq, a predicted model, not a curated record